Molecule: non-coding RNA, 3468 nt
Organism: Physcomitrium patens
Lineage: Eukaryota; Viridiplantae; Streptophyta; Bryopsida; Funariales; Funariaceae
Source: RefSeq, a predicted model, not a curated record
CAAUGGCGGACCUGGAGCUCACUCUGCUCUGCAGCUUGUGGCUUUUUGUGGGUUUCUGAAAAUAUGAAAGCAUGCACCAAUUUUGAUAGUAUUCCUUGAUGUCAGGAGACCGUUGACGACGUGCUCAAUCUACCAAGUGAUCACCCGAUCAGAGAUUCAGAAGUGCGCCAGACAGACGUCGGAGACGCCGUCAACCUUUUCUUCUUGUUUAUUUUUGUGUUUUCUUUUUCUUUUAUUGUCGUAACAAAUGGAGCUGGUGCAUUGCUUAAUCCGUUUCCAACUUUUUGGAAUCUUAGAUGCAUGUAAUGCAGCCACGAACAGCUUCCGGGUUAUAUACGAUGCACGGAGCGGGAAGGUUUGUGAAGAGAGGCAACAGACAACGCUUGAGGCACGAUGGAAGUUGUUUUUUGUGCUGGACACACACUCUGAACCUGGAAAUUAUUCGUUUAAAUUGGUUAUGACGAAGCCCCGAACUGCGGCUUCCAGGGACCUGUUCAUCAAUGGCAUUCAGUGUAGGCGUUGCUUCCACAACUGGCCGCCAUUCAGUCCAGCCACCAUGCAGGGCAAGUCCUUGUUCCCUCUGUUUCGGUCACGGUUUAGUGCUUUUCAAAAUUGUGCCACAAUUGUUCUAGAUCGGCCGCUUCUGACUGGAUCAUUGUCUGUGUCCGAUUGGCACUUGCCGCUGUAGUUUUUUUCGCCUUCUGAAGCACUGCUUUCAAGUUGUUUUCUUUUCGGUAGUUUUGCAUUGUCACUACCAUCUUUUCCUCGGUUAUGUGACGUUAGUGGAGCUGAGGUAGAGGCUGGGAUCGUCCAGGGAGUUUGGUUUCAGUUUGGUAUGUACAGUUCGCUACACAUCAAUUGAAUCAGUUUUGUUGUCUGUUUGAUGGGCUGCACGUUUCAGAGAAUGGAUAUGGUUUUGUUGCUUCUCAACUGCAGUGCUGUGGGCAUUAGAGUUGUUUGUUGGGUUGCUCACAUGCGUUUAGAUACUUAACUCGAUAGUUUCGUUAUGCGAUAUCCCAGUCAAGCUUCCUGCUCAAAGUAGGACUCUCUUUCUUGCUGAUAUAAUAGAGUCCGAACCUGGUUCAGUUGGAGCAUACAGUAAAUGUCUACUGUGUGCACAUUUAUUCCUUGACCUUGAUUCUCUGCAAUUGGAAGUGAAAUACGUCCUAGAAAAGACCUAGAAAAGGCAUGCUUGAAUACCGUGUAGUUUGUUCUUUAGCUUAUUUGAUCCAUUACAGUCCUUGCAGAGUACAUUUCGCUCAUAUAAUAAAGCUAACGACGAGGAAAACUUCAACUGGUGUCUGGUUAUGCAGGGGUUUGGUUUUCUUCAAAAUGGCGUAAGCACUGACCCUUGGAGUCACCCUCCUUUUUUACAUUGUCGCAUUUGGCCUUGCUCUUGCAGCCAUUGCGCACCGGAGCAAGGCAACCCCAGCAAUUGAUCCUAAAACUCGGUUUCUGAAAUGUCAAUACUCCUCCGACGUAGCAACCGGUUAUGCUGUCGGGUCUUUCAUGUUCCUGCGCUUUUCGCAAGUUUUCAUCAUGUUAGCCUCACGCUGCCUUUGCUGUGGGAGUGGUGUCAAACCUGGAGGUGCCAAGACAUUCGGUGUGCUGAUGUUUCUUUUGUCAUGGAUGUGCUUCGUUGUUGCCACGUCUGCUCUGAUCGCUGGUGCAGCUCAAAAUAAAAUCCAAACAGAAAAGUAUUACAAUUAUUUUGGAGACAGAGUCACAUGCCGAGAAGUGCGAAAGAGUUUAUUCGAGGCUGCAGCAGCUUUUACCUUCCUCACUAUGAUAUUCAGUGAGCUGUAUUUCUUACUGCUUUCGAAAGCUCGGGAGCCUGAGCCAUGGAUGUCGAAUGGCCCCUCAGUGGGCAUGUCUCGUUACCCUUCAGUUUCGUUCGCUUGUCUAGACUUUUCUAGUUCGGAUCAUGCUCAGCUCGUUUUUUUAAGAGCCACAUUCAUCCUUUUAGAUGUACAUGGUGAAUCAUAAAACCUUUCAGAAUCGAAAUUUAGUCAGCCUUAAUGUUGUAAUUUUUCACGCUCCGUUCUCCAGAGCGUCCACAUUCUCAUGAGACAGCUUCAUGCACAAUUCGGCCUUUACGUCCAUUAUUCUGGACUCUGAGCUCCCUGUUGUGUCUGUGUUUUUUCAUCUCGUUUUAAUUCUAAUGCAUUCUGAUUUGUCCGAUAGUAACAUUGGUUCCUUCCCAUCAAUCUCCGAAGUCUUGUAUGAUUAUUACAUAUCAAUUACAAUCUGAAGUUUAUGCUUCGUCCAAGUUGAGACUCAGCUCAGAGUUUGUUUGCCUUUCUGUGAAUGAGUAAUGUAAAGAAAUUUCAACUUUUUUGUGCCUUAGUAGUGUUCCUAUUGCGAGUGACCUUCAACAAGCUUGUUGAUUUCCUUCCGCUGGAAUAGCAGUUUCAUUUUGUUUCUAUCCAAUCAAAAAGUUUCAGUACUUAUGUAAUUCAAUAGGAGGAGUUGACAAGAAUGGUCGCGACGCUUGCCUGCCAAGUGCCUCUCUUAAGAAGGUUGCAACCCGAGAUCGAGAGCUCGAGAGGAUUUUGCCAUCUGCGGGGCAUCUCAAGUUUUUUAUUGUAUACUCUGCCUAUGUUUAGGCAUCUCUCUGGUAUUUCAUUUUGACUGUUUCGUGCUUCUUCUAACGUCUUGGUGAACAGGUGAGCGUAUUCCUUCCAUCUUCAGCUUAUUCAGGUAAAUUGUAAAUCCCAGUAGCUCGGUGAUACAGCCUCGUUAAUCAUGUCGUAUGGGUCGCACUUGAAUCGUAAGGACAAGUUCAAUCCGGUAACGGAGUCGAUGUACCGUCAGAAGCCCGCGGGGCUUGUUGUCAGAAGCAUGGAGAGGACGAAGGAGUACGACCCAGAAGAACCAGACGGCCCAGCGACGCAUGUCGAAAACGCACCACGGGUAGAACGUGGAGGCUCUGACUCGAACUGGAUAAUGAGCAAAGAACGCAUGGAAUACCGUCACAGCAAAAUUAUUGAAAUUCUUGACGGAAUGGUUCACAGACUGCCUAAGGAGAAUUUUGAUGUAUAUCUUGAGCGAUGCUAUUCUACUGCUAACUUGGCCCUGAACAAAGCUAACAAAGCCAUCACUGGCGACGAAUGCGAAGACGUCGGGGAUAGGUGGGUGACCCGUUUUGUCAUAGGUUUCAGGUUACUGUCUAGAUUAACUGGCGUGGGAUGGAAGUCAGAGGAAGAGGCGUUGCUCUUCAAACUAGUGCGAGAGGAAUGCGACAUGCUCACCAAGCAAGAUGUCCAAUUCAUAGAAUCAAGAUCGAGUGUUAGGACGGAAAAAAGGCCGUGGGAGAGAGUAUUUGACGACAGUCACCCUACAGAUUACAGAGAAGGUGUCGGCGACCCUUCAAAGUUCCACCAUUGAAGCAGCCACUCCUAGGAGUCUACUCAAAACCUUGUACGUAGACAAAGUCUAUUUAUAAAAUAAAUUUAACACCUAUUUUUA